Molecule: ribosomal RNA, 433 nt
Filed under: uncultured bacterium
Lineage: Bacteria
Description: partial 16S ribosomal RNA
Rfam family: Bacterial small subunit ribosomal RNA
Source: RNAcentral
AACGAACGCUGGCGGCAUGCCUAACACAUGCAAGUCGAACGAGACCUUCGGGUCUAGUGGCUCACGGGUGCGUAACGCGUGGGAACCUGCCCUUAGGUUCGGAAUAACUCCCCGAAAGGGGUGCUAAUACCGGAUAAUGUCUUCGGACCAAAGAUUUAUCGCCUUUGGAUGGGCCCGCGUUGGAUUAGCUAGUUGGUAGGGUAAAAGCCUACCAAGGCGACGAUCCAUAGCUGGUCUGAGAGGAUGAUCAGCCACACUGGGACUGAGACACGGCCCAGACUCCUACGGGAGGCAGCAGUGGGGAAUAUUGGACAAUGGGCGAAAGCCUGAUCCAGCAAUGCCGCGUGAGUGAUGAAGGCCUUAGGGUUGUAAAGCUCUUUUACCCGGGAUGAUAAUGACAGUACCGGGAGAAUAAGCCCCGGCUAACUCCGUG